Molecule: ribosomal RNA, 446 nt
Filed under: uncultured bacterium
Lineage: Bacteria
Description: bacterial SSU rRNA
Rfam family: Bacterial small subunit ribosomal RNA
Source: RNAcentral
ACUCCUACGGGAGGCAGCAGUGAGGAAUAUUGGACAAUGGGCGCAAGCCUGAUCCAGCCAUGCCGCGUGAGCGAUGAAGGCCUUAGGGUUGUAAAGCUCUUUCGCUAGGGAAGAUAAUGACGGUACCUAGUAAAGAAACCCGGCUAACUCCGUGCCAGCAGCCGCGGUAAUACGGAGGGGUUAGCGUUGUUCGGAAUUACUGGGCGUAAAGCGCACGUAGGCGGACUAUUAAGUCAGAGGUGAAAUCCCGGGGCUCAACCCCGGAACUGCCUUUGAUACUGGUAGUCUAGAGGUCGAGAGAGGUGAGUGGAAUUCCAAGUGUAGAGGUGAAAUUCGUAGAUAUUUGGAGGAACACCAGUGGCGAAGGCGGCUCACUGGCUCGAUACUGACGCUGAGGUGCGAAAGUGUGGGGAGCAAACAGGAUUAGAUACCCUGGUAGCUACGAG